This 448-nucleotide ribosomal RNA is filed under the name uncultured bacterium. RNAcentral describes it as "bacterial SSU rRNA". It matches the Rfam family "Bacterial small subunit ribosomal RNA", at positions 330 to 792 of the family's 1533-position model. The record is from RNAcentral.
UACAGACUCCUACGGGAGGCAGCAGUGGGGAAUAUUGGGCAAUGGGCGCAAGCCUGACCCAGCAACGCCGCGUGAAGGAAGAAGGCUUUCGGGUUGUAAACUUCUUUUCUCAGGGACGAAGAAAGUGACGGUACCUGAGGAAUAAGCCACGGCUAACUACGUGCCAGCAGCCGCGGUAAUACGUAGGUGGCAAGCGUUAUCCGGAUUUAUUGGGUGUAAAGGGCGUGUAGGCGGGAGCGCAAGUCAGAUGUGAAAACUCAGGGCUCAACCCUGAGCCUGCAUUUGAAACUGUGUUUCUUGAGUGCUGGAGAGGCAAUCGGAAUUCCGUGUGUAGCGGUGAAAUGCGUAGAUAUACGGAGGAACACCAGUGGCGAAGGCGGCCUACUGGACGGUGACUGACGCUGAGGCUCGAAAGCGUGGGGAGCAAACAGGAUUAGAUACCCGAGUA